Molecule: ribosomal RNA, 497 nt
Filed under: uncultured bacterium
Lineage: Bacteria
Description: partial 16S ribosomal RNA
Rfam family: Bacterial small subunit ribosomal RNA
Source: RNAcentral
GAUGAACGCUGGCGGCGUGCUUAAUACAUGCAAGUCGAGCGAACGGACGAGAAUCUUGCUGCUUUGAUGUUAGCGGCGGACGUGUGAGUAACACGUGUAUAAUCUACCUAUAAGACUGGGAUAACUUCGGGAAACCGGCUCUUAUACCGUAUAAUAUUUUGAUCCGCAUGGUUCAAUAGUGAAAGUCGGUCUUGCUGUCACUUAUAGAUGGAUCCGCGCUGCAUUAUCUAGUUGGUAAGGUAACGGCUUACCAAGGCGAAGAUGCAUAGCCGACCUGAGAGGGUGAUCGGCCACACUGGAACUGAGACACGGUCCAGACUCCUACGGGAGGCAGCAGUAGGCAAUCUUCCGCAAUGGGCGAAAGCCUGACGGAGCAACGCCGCGUGAGUGAUGAAGGUCUUCGGAUCGUAAAACUCUGUUAUUAGGGAAGAACAUAUGUGUAAGUAAAUGUGCACAUCUUGACGGUAACUAAUCAGAAAGCCACGGCUAACUACGUG